Molecule: transfer RNA, 73 nt
Filed under: Bos taurus (domestic cattle)
Lineage: Eukaryota; Metazoa; Chordata; Mammalia; Artiodactyla; Bovidae
Also listed under: 2 other names
Rfam family: tRNA
About the family: Transfer RNA (tRNA) molecules are approximately 80 nucleotides in length.
Source: Rfam by way of RNAcentral
UCCCUGGUGGCUCAGUGGCUAAGACUCUGCCCUCUCAAUGCAGGAGGCCUGGGUUAGAACCCUGGUCAGGGAA